UAUAUAUAUUGUUAGUAAUUCUACUAAUUUAAUUUUCUAAAAGAACAACCUACACUGGUAAUUAUGUUCUUAUCCUUGGCUGGAAGGACAUGGUCUUGAUCUAACCUGGAUUGACAAAUUGCUAAUGUUUAAUAGGGUUUACCACCACCGAAACGAACCGAUCACAUGUCACUAUCGUUUUCCCAAGGAUACUCCCUAUGACAUCGGUUGACCGGAACCAUCGUUUGCCUUUUCCCCCUUGUAUAUAACAGAAAAGAAAGUAACACUGAUAAGAUUUUUUCACGAAAAACUUCCCUGAUCGAUCUUCUUUGGUUGCUAAACGAACCUCAUUCAGCCCCUGGUGACUCGUUUUUAUGCACCCAAAUACAAUACGUUGGUUUUUUACCUGCCAUAGAAAAAAGAAAAACACUCGCCAUUUUUCCUAAAAGCUUUGGAAAUUAUGUUAUUAAUUGCAUGAAAAAUAAAAACAUGUAGCUCCUAUGUUUCUUCAUGCAAACAAACAAACAUACAACUCAAAAAUACGGGUAUCCGUUCCAAUUUUAAAACAACUUUCAUGUACAUGAUGACGUAGCACUUCUUGUUAGAAUAGAUUCAAGAUUAACUUCUUCCGUAUAUACUCACUCAAACCCCACUACGAAACAAACCGCUCAAAAAAGAAAGAAACCAUAGUACGUAGUAUUCAGAAACAAAGAAACCCUAGAAUCCAUCAUCAUGCGUAGACCAAGAAAUCGUUUGAGGAUUCCUCUAACAAAAAAGUGUGAGCAUUGUGAUUUUGAAUCAACAGUGGAGUUGUAUGGCGAUCAUGUCAGCCAAGAAUUGACUUCGAAGAGGCUGUUCGAGCCAGGAACUUCAAAGAGACGAGGUUUAGGAAGUUGACGGCUGAGAUAAGAAAGAAAGGGCAGAAGAUGGAUGGAUCUAAUUAUAUCUAUCUAUAUAUGAAAUUAAUUAAGUUUGUUCUUUAACGUACACUUGCCAGUGCUCGUCUUGUUGGUUUUAAUAUUUCUUGCUUGGUGUGAUACAAUUUAAUUGAUUAUAUUGGGUUUCUAUAUAUAUAUUUCUUGCCA
Helianthus annuus (common sunflower) is the source of this 1064-nucleotide long non-coding RNA. RefSeq lists it as uncharacterized. The record is from RefSeq and is a predicted model, not a curated record. NCBI's taxonomy places the organism in Eukaryota, Viridiplantae, Streptophyta, Magnoliopsida, Asterales, Asteraceae. The transcript has 2 exons.